Molecule: unclassified non-coding RNA, 327 nt
Filed under: soil metagenome
Description: partial contains 5.8S ribosomal RNA, internal transcribed spacer 2, and large subunit ribosomal RNA
Rfam family: 5.8S ribosomal RNA (bases 1-119)
Source: RNAcentral
AUGAAGAACGCAGCGAAAUGCGAUAAGUAAUGUGAAUUGCAGAAUUCAGUGAAUCAUCGAAUCUUUGAACGCACAUUGCGCCCCCUGGUAUUCCGGGGGGCAUGCCUGUCCGAGCGUCAUUACAACCCUCAAGCUCAGCUUGGUGUUGGGCCCCGCCGCCCCGGCGGGCCCUAAAGUCAGUGGCGGUGCCGUCCGGCUCCGAGCGUAGUAAUUCUUCUCGCUCUGGAGGUCCGGUCGUGUGCUCGCCAGCAACCCCCAAUUUUUUCAGGUUGACCUCGGAUCAGGUAGGGAUACCCGCUGAACUUAAGCAUAUCAAUAAGCGGAGGA